Molecule: non-coding RNA, 1312 nt
Organism: Chrysemys picta bellii (western painted turtle)
Lineage: Eukaryota; Metazoa; Chordata; Testudines; Emydidae
Source: RefSeq, a predicted model, not a curated record
AAGCAUGUGACUUACUCGUGUGACCCUGGACUCCACCUUGUGCCUGUAAUUUUCCACCAACUGAGACUGGGAGCUUUGUUUGGGACAGUAAAAUUCCAUCCACGUGGGAGAGGGCAUAAAAGACCCUGGAAACAUCUUCAUUUUGUCUUCAUUUCCUGCUUCAUUUCUCUGCACUGGAUUUCUGAAGGAAGCUCUAAAUGAGGACUGAUGACCCCCAAGCUGUUUGGAUUCAGACUAACAUGGCUACCCCUCUGAUACUUGACACCAGUUUGGGGUGAGUCUGCCCUAUUUCUCAGCAGUUUGUCCUGAAUCUGACAUCCUCAGCUGUGACCCACUGAGGCACAGUGACAAGUUUAUCUCACAGGAAUGUUGUACAGGAAGAAUAACAGGCAGCCAAAGCACUGCGCCUGACACAGAGGACAAUCUGCAGACAACAGAAGAUAUAUGCACAUAUGUCAAAAAUAUGCAGAGUAUGUCCCUAAAUCAUUUUUAUACCUAUAAAUAUGGACAGAUUUAAAUGCACAAACAACUUUGCACAAAGUCACAGCUUUACAAAUGUCUAAAACUAGCAGGAUUCAAGGGCACAUAUGGGGAAGACAUGAUGUGUUUUGCAGGAUAGAGUUACAAGUAAUAUACAUUUCCACAAGCUACAAGCAGAAAAGUUGAAUGCAUAUAUUUAUAAAAGGGGUUUGAAGAGCUGAAUGAUUUAGCAGAAAGAGAAUAUGAAAUAAAAGAAGCAGCUCCAUUUAAUAGUAAGCACAGUAAUUAGAAUUUCUACUCUGAAUAUUACAGAAAAGAAAAUGUUCAUGAAAAGGGGAAUACCUAGGCUUUACUAACUCAUUGCUGAUGUAAAGUGAACAUUUAAAUGGGCAAGAAUUUUGUGAAUGUUGGGCAUUUCUAUAGUUUGAUUUGUGUUAAAAUAUGUAUUAAAAUAUUCUGGAGUCCUAAAAAUGUGUAAGUACAAGUGUGUGCUUGAGUCUGUGAAAAAGAUCCUUUUUUAGGUUCUAAUGAAAAAUGUAAAUAAGGGCAAGAAACGUUGUCUUUUAUUUCAAUACAUAAGUUGGAUUUUCUUUCUGAUCUACCCUCUGAGGAUUCUUUUUUUCCAGUGUGGGAUUGACCAUGUACUGUAUACUGUCUAACAUUUUUUAAAUUAAAACCAUAUGGAUGAAAUCAAUUUAUUGUCUUGCAGAUGUUGAAAUCCAGUCUUGUUUGAGUUUAACUACUUACAUAGAAUAUACAUGUUUCCUGUAUAUCUAUUUUGUAUCUUUGUAAUAAUUCACCAUAUUGCUUUUCAUUAGUGUCCUUUUCUGUA